RNAcentral lists this transfer RNA (94 nucleotides) under Nitriliruptor sp. RNAcentral's name for it is "tRNA-Sec". It matches the Rfam family "Selenocysteine transfer RNA". The record is from RNAcentral. Lineage: Bacteria; Bacillati; Actinomycetota; Nitriliruptoria; Nitriliruptorales; Nitriliruptoraceae.
GGAGGUGUCCGGACGCCUGGUGGGUCCCCCGGUCUUCAACACCGGUGAGGGGUUGUUCACAACCCCUGGCGGGUUCGAUUCCCGUCCGCCUCCG